AGCGAACGCUGGCGGCAGGCCUAACACAUGCAAGUCGAGCGCCCCGCAAGGGGAGCGGCAGACGGGAGAGUAACACGUGGGAACGUACCCUUUGGUUCGGAACAACCCAGGGAAACUUGGGCUAAUACCGGAUAAGCCCCUACGGGGAAAGAUUCAUCGCCGAAGGAUCGGCCCGCGUCUGAUUAGCUAGUUGGUGGGGUAACGGCCCACCAAGGCGACGAUCGGUAGCUGGUCUGAGAGGAUGAUCAGCCUCACUGGGACUGAGACACGGCCCAGACUCCUACGGGAGGCAGCAGUGGGGAAUAUUGGACAAUGGGCGCAAGCCUGAUCCAGCCAUGCCGCGUGGGUGAUGAAGGCCCUAGGGUUGUAAAGCCCUUUCGGCGGGGAAGAUAAUGACGGUACCCGCAGAAGAAGCCCCGGCUAACUUCGUGCCAGCCGCCGCGGUAA
RNAcentral lists this ribosomal RNA (447 nucleotides) under uncultured bacterium. Its description in RNAcentral is "partial 16S ribosomal RNA". It matches the Rfam family "Bacterial small subunit ribosomal RNA", at positions 29 to 523 of the family's 1533-position model. The record is from RNAcentral.